Enhydra lutris kenyoni (northern sea otter) is the source of this 253-nucleotide long non-coding RNA. RefSeq lists it as uncharacterized. The transcript is spliced from 3 exons. Lineage: Eukaryota; Metazoa; Chordata; Mammalia; Carnivora; Mustelidae. The record is from RefSeq and is a predicted model, not a curated record.
CCAUAGACAACAAUUUAAACGGAGACUAGUCAAUAUAUUUAUGUGUUCUUCACCUACGUUCAGCUACGGAAAAGAAUAGCACAUGAAUUAAUGAAUCCCAAUACAAAUGGCCUCGUCUAAUGUGUUGAAGGUCUGAAUAGAACAAGAAGGCAGGGACAGAGCUCUAGUGGCACUCCGCAAACUGAAACGAAGGACGCGUCUGCCACCUCCUGGACACUCUGAGAAAUUCAAAGGAUUUUUCCACAGGAAGAGG